UGGGGAAUUUCGGACAAUGGGCGAAAGCCUGAUCCAGCAAUGCCGCAUGUGUGAAGAAGGCCUUCGGGUUGUAAAGCACUUUUGUCCGGAAAGAAAUCCUUGGCUCUAAUACAGUCGGGGGAUGACGGUACCGGAAGAAUAAGCACCGGCUAACUACGUGCCAGCAGCCGCGGUAAUACGUAGGGUGCAAGCGUUAAUCGGAAUUACUGGGCGUAAAGCGUGCGCAGGCGGUUUGCUAAGACCGAUGUGAAAUCCCCGGGCUCAACCUGGGAACUGCAUUGGUGACUGGCAGGCUAGAGUAUGGCAGAGGGGGGUAGAAUUCCACGUGUAGCAGUGAAAUGCGUAGAGAUGUGGAGGAAUACCGAUGGCGAAGGCAGCCCCCUGGGCCAAUACUGACGCUCAUGCACGAAAGCGUGGGGAGCAAACAGGAUUAGAUACCCUGGUAGUCCACGCCCUAAACGAUGUCAACUAGUUGUUGGGGAUUCAUUUCCUUAGUAACGUAGCUAACGCGUGAAGUUGACCGCCUGGGGAGUACGGUCGCAAGAUUAAAACUCAAAUGAAUUGACGGGGUCAUAGCUGUUUCCU
RNAcentral lists this ribosomal RNA (585 nucleotides) under uncultured bacterium. RNAcentral's name for it is "partial 16S ribosomal RNA". It matches the Rfam family "Bacterial small subunit ribosomal RNA", at positions 355 to 1375 of the family's 1533-position model. The record is from RNAcentral.